GCUCUUUCCCCCCCUCCAUGAAAGCGGGAUGGCAUCCCUUUUACUCCGCAUGACAUUUGCCAGGGAGGGAGGUGGUGUGUUUAACCCAUUAAUUUGCCUUCCACGGUCCCUCUGGGCAAUAAUUGCAGCAGAGACGUGUGGCUUCGGGUGUGAGCACCCUGUUCCGUGGGGUAGGUGAUGGUUGCCACGCUUCGUCCACAUUUUUAGGCGCACGCGCGCCCCCACAGCAGGGCUGGGAAACCUGGAUCCAUUUCCAAAAGGGGGCAGAGUAAUGGAAACAGUCUCCCCACUCUCCAAGCUCUUUCCCAAGGGCAAAGAUCCCUGUCUCCAUUGAGGAACCCCCCUUUUUUUCCCCUCCCCCUGCCUACUCCGGAGAAAGAAAGCUGUGUCCCUUGCAACUGCCAGCACGGCUCCUGGUGGUGGUAGUGGUGGUUGGUAAUGGUGGUGACGUCCUCCAUUUUGUCGGAAGCUGCUGCAGGCAGGGAACUUGGGACCACUUCAGACCAACAUGGGGCUCUAUGAGGUGCCUGGUUUCAGAGCCUCUCGCCUCAGGGUCACAGCAAAGCGCGGGGGGGAACCUCUGGCAAUGCCCUAAAAGGGAUAAAUCGAACCCAGAGCCGCCAAGGCGGCAAAGCACCGAGAACCACGCUCCCCACCCUCCCUCAGCCAAAAUGGAGGAUGCGCACUUCCCUUGCGCGGUUGGUUCCCCGUUCCCCAUCCAUGGGAUUGACGCCCGCUUCUUCGAGGACGGGGGCGUGCUCAGUCUUCUGCCUGGUUGGUUAACCCACCGACUACCCCGUGGGUUGUCCCUCUCUCUCUCCUCGACAAAAACGGGGAGAAAGAGGCGGGAAACAACGCCACACAGUCUUCUCCACCUUGCAGCUAUUCCACAAACGUACACGCAGCAGCACGGUAUUUUAUUCCCUGGAGAAAGGCUUAUUAUGUACGGGGGGAAAGGGAGCGGGCAAGAGCUGUUGGCCCCAUUUCUGUCUCAGAUAUGCAAGAGCUUCUCGCGAUGCCAAGUCCCUGGGUAACUUGCGCGGGAGCUCAGUUCGAAGAGUUUUAAGUUCGCUCGGUUGCCCUCGGUGGCUAAUUUCCCUGCGCCGCAGACGCGAGCAUUCUGAACGCGGCGCUGUCGCUGUACCAUAUCUAGUUCCCUCCUGCCACCAGCCCUGAACAGAGACGCAGGCAACAGCCAACAGGUCUAGCCAAAUGCGUAUGUGAAACUAUUAAUAGGAUGCUGCCGAUUUAAUGGGAAAUGCGAAAGCUUGCAUUUCUAGGUGGGCAAACAACGUCGCAGAAAGUCUAUAAACUCUAAUGGAUAGUGAAGGGGAGAACUUAAUUUUUCACUUGAUGGCCUAUAUUAAAAGGCUGGACAAUGAGAUUAUCUGCUUUGAUAACUGCAUUUCCUGUUACAUUAUUUUCAAUUGGCGUUUGAUAGUGGAGACAGAAAAGGAAGAAGUUUUGUUGGUUUAGUCAUUAUCCGCAGCAUCUUUCAGGACUUAUGUUGUAUUGUGUGGGUUUUUUUGGUUUUUUUUAAGACUGACCAUUUCCAUUGCUUUCUCCAUAUAGGAAUCUAAAUGCUGUACUCUGAAAUCUGAAAACCUUGACUUUUAUUUAAGGGUCAUUACUUGGGAUUCAGAGGCACUUCUGAAGAAACGCGGGUAGGAUCCCACAAUUUAAAGAAAUGGUUCCCAAAGAUUUUUGGGCCACCGCUCCCUUGGUUCCAUAAACUCAUUCCUUUUUCUGUAAAAAGCAUUAUUCAGAAGAGCGGUCCACUAAGGAAGAUGAUAACACAAUAAAAUUGAAAGCA
Non-coding RNA from Podarcis lilfordi (Lilford's wall lizard), 1813 nucleotides. Lineage: Eukaryota; Metazoa; Chordata; Lepidosauria; Squamata; Lacertidae. The record is from the annotation of a GenBank genome assembly.